Molecule: ribosomal RNA, 253 nt
Filed under: uncultured bacterium
Lineage: Bacteria
Description: partial 16S ribosomal RNA
Rfam family: Bacterial small subunit ribosomal RNA
Source: RNAcentral
UACGUAGGGGGCUAGCGUUGUCCGGAAUCAUUGGGCGUAAAGAGCGCGUAGGCGGCCAGAUAAGUCCGGUGUGAAAGUCAAAGGCUCAACCUUUGAAUGCCGCUGGAAACUGUCUGGCUAGAGUCCGGGAGGGGCGAGUGGAAUUCCUGGUGUAGCGGUGAAAUGCGCAGAUAUCAGGAGGAACACCAAUGGCGAAGGCAGCUCGCUGGAACGGUACUGACGCUGAGGCGCGAAAGCAUGGGGAGCAAACAGG